UACGUAGGGGGCGAGCGUUGUCCGGAAUCAUUGGGCGUAAAGCGCGUGUAGGCGGCCCGAUAAGUCCGCUGUGAAAGUCCAGGGCUCAACCCUGGAAUGCCGGUGGAUACUGUCGGGCUCGAGUCCGGAAGAGGCGAGUGGAAUUCCUGGUGUAGCGGUGAAAUGCGCAGAUAUCAGGAGGAACACCGAUGGCGAAGGCAGCUCGCUGGGACGGUACUGACGCUGAGACGCGAAAGCGUGGGGAGCAAACAGG
This 253-nucleotide ribosomal RNA is filed under the name uncultured bacterium. RNAcentral describes it as "partial 16S ribosomal RNA". It matches the Rfam family "Bacterial small subunit ribosomal RNA", at positions 524 to 776 of the family's 1533-position model. The record is from RNAcentral.